This is an RNA transcript of Trichomycterus rosablanca, 1401 nucleotides long. It is a transcript of the gene named serine and arginine rich splicing factor 3a, with no coding region annotated. Lineage: Eukaryota; Metazoa; Chordata; Actinopteri; Siluriformes; Trichomycteridae. The transcript has 9 exons. The record is from RefSeq and is a predicted model, not a curated record.
AAUUCGUUGCUGCCAACUGGGGUGGCAGCAGGGGUGGCAAGGCUUUCUUUUAGGGUGGCAUGUGCCACCCUAUGCCACCCCGGUAGAUCCGCCCAUGCAUAUCUGGUUGAUACACAUUCAUCAUACUCUGUGCACUGGGGGUGCCACUGGGCAAAACAGAGAGUUACAAGAAGUGGACACCCUGCUCUACUUGAUUACUUUACUUGUUUUUUACUACUUACUGCCUAUAGGGAUAAUAAUAAUGCUUAGAAUUUUGAGAUUUAGUAAUAAAUCUAAUGGCUUGGCUUAGUGGCGUCGUGCCAUGUAGACUUGUUCCCUCCAGUGAUUCCACUUCUGCACUCCAGCCUAAAGAGAGACUUAGCCUUGGCCUUAUCUGGUAGAAUCUGAUAGCAUACAGCUGUGCUGAUGGUGUCAUAUCAGUCUGAGAUCCAUAUAGCUGUGUGACACCCACUCCUACUACCUCCACUUAUAACAAAAAGCCGGCAAGAUCCUGGUGGAACUAGUAUUAUUUACAUAUUAGUUUUUUGUUGCAUGAUGAAGAAGCUAUUCAGUUCAAAGCUUUGUAAGUCGAACAAGUUAAGAAAGGAGCCAAGGACAGAUACAGCCAUAAUGGCAGAGUCUUGCUCACUUGACUGUAAAGUGUAUGUAGGUAAUCUAGGAGACAAUGGAAACAAGACUGACUUGGAGAGGGCGUUUGGUUAUUAUGGCCCCUUACGGAGUGUCUGGGUGGCCAGGCACCCUCCUGGUUUUGCAUUUGUGGAGUUUGAAGAUCCCAGAGAUGCUAGAGAUGCUGUCAGAGAGUUAGAUGGAAGAACACUUUGUGGCUGCCGCGUGCGAGUUGAGAUGUCAAAUGGUGAGAAGCGAAAUCGAGGUCCACCACCUUCCUGGGGUCGCCGGUCAAGAGAUGACUCUAGGCGCAGGAGCCCACCUCCCAGACGCCGAGACAUCUUCCCUCUCCUCAUCUACUGCUGUGUCAGUCAACUAGCCCAGUUUCUACACCUUUGUGACCAGCUCACAUGUCCCAAGCAUGGUCACCAGUCCAUUGCCUCCUGAACAUGUCUCUCUCUAAGGGUCUUCCAGUUCCUUCAGCAAAACUACCCACUCCACCCAUACAACCAAUCGACGGCUCUUAUUCUUCUCUAAUGUCUACAAUCAGCCUUCCCUCAGCUGUCCUCAGCUAACUGACCUCUUCAGCCAGCUAUAGCAAUCAGCAAUGUUAACGUCUAGAAAUCAGCUCCCCGCAUUUUCUACCCUCCUGACCAGCACUCAGCCUCUUUGCAUCCUUACUAGCUUGUUGAAAACCAAAUAAUAGUCCCCCAAGAGGAAGAGUUCCAGCCGCAGUCGCAGCAGGUCCAGGGACAGGAGAAGGGACAGGUCUCUUUCUCGUAACGGAAACGAUAA